RNAcentral lists this ribosomal RNA (231 nucleotides) under Thermorudis peleae. Its description in RNAcentral is "partial 16S ribosomal RNA". It matches the Rfam family "Bacterial small subunit ribosomal RNA", at positions 1324 to 1533 of the family's 1533-position model. The record is from RNAcentral. Lineage: Bacteria; Pseudomonadati; Thermomicrobiota; Thermomicrobia.
ACGCGGAGUUGCUAGUAACCGCCGGUCAGCCAUACGGCGGUGAAUACGUUCCCGGGCCUUGUACACACCGCCCGUCACGUCACGAAAGCUGGCUUCACCUGAAGCCGGUGGGCCAACCCGGCGGGGGACCGCUGGGGGGCAGCCGUCGAGGGUGGGGCUGGUGAUUGGGACGAAGUCGUAACAAGGUAGCCGUACCGGAAGGUGCGGCUGGAUCACCUCCUUUCUAGGGAG